RNAcentral lists this ribosomal RNA (468 nucleotides) under uncultured bacterium. RNAcentral describes it as "partial 16S ribosomal RNA". It matches the Rfam family "Bacterial small subunit ribosomal RNA", at positions 28 to 507 of the family's 1533-position model. The record is from RNAcentral.
GACGAACGCUGGCGGCGUGCUUAACACAUGCAAGUCGAACGGAAAGGCCCUGCUUUUGUGGGGUGCUCGAGUGGCGAACGGGUGAGUAACACGUGAGUAACCUGCCCUUGACUUUGGGAUAACUUCAGGAAACUGGGGCUAAUACCGGAUAGGAGCUCCUGCUGCAUGGUGGGGGUUGGAAAGUUUCGGCGGUUGGGGAUGGACUCGCGGCUUAUCAGCUUGUUGGUGGGGUAGUGGCUUACCAAGGCUUUGACGGGUAGCCGGCCUGAGAGGGUGACCGGCCACAUUGGGUCUGAGAUACGGCCCAGGCUCCGACGGGAGGCAGCAGUGGGGAAUAUUGCACAAUGGGCGGAAGCCUGAUGCAGCAACGCCGCGUGCGGGAUGACGGCCUUCGGGUUGUAAACCGCUUUCGCCUGUGACGAAGCGUGAGUGACGGUAAUGGGUAAAGAAGCACCGGCUAACUACGUG